RNAcentral lists this ribosomal RNA (253 nucleotides) under uncultured bacterium. RNAcentral describes it as "partial 16S ribosomal RNA". It matches the Rfam family "Bacterial small subunit ribosomal RNA", at positions 524 to 776 of the family's 1533-position model. The record is from RNAcentral.
UACGUAGGGAGCAAGCGUUGUCCGGAAUCAUUGGGCGUAAAGCGCGCGUAGGCGGCCUCGUAAGUCCGUUGUGAAAGUCAAAGGCUCAACCUUUGAAAGCCGAUGGAUACUGUGAGGCUAGAGUCCGGAAGAGGCGAGUGGAAUUCCUGGUGUAGCGGUGGAAUGCGCAGAUAUCAGGAGGAACACCAAUUGCGAAGGCAGCUCGCUGGGACGUUACUGACGCUGAGACGCGAAAGCGUGGGGAGCAAACAGG